RNAcentral lists this ribosomal RNA (253 nucleotides) under uncultured bacterium. RNAcentral describes it as "partial 16S ribosomal RNA". It matches the Rfam family "Bacterial small subunit ribosomal RNA", at positions 524 to 776 of the family's 1533-position model. The record is from RNAcentral.
UACGAAGGGGGCUAGCGUUGCUCGGAUUGACUGGGCGUAAAGGGCGCGUAGGCGGUUCGUACAGUCAGACGUGAAAUUCCUGGGCUCAACCUGGGGGCUGCGUUUGAUACGUGCGGGCUUGAGUUCGGAAGAGGGUCGUGGAAUUCCCAGUGUAGAGGUGAAAUUCGUAGAUAUUGGGAAGAACACCGGUGGCGAAGGCGGCGACCUGGUCCGAUACUGACGCUGAGGCACGAAAGCGUGGGGAGCAAACAGG